UCGUGGAGUGAUCUGUCUGCUUAAUUGCGUUUCAGAUAAACAGUGUCGAUAGCUAUGUGAGUUAUGAUGCUUACGGGCACAUAUCGCGCAAGCACGACACUAUGAAGGCAACGAACGUGACCGCAACCCUUUGUUGCAUCCGUAGAGUAUGUAUGAGAUGGUUUCCCUUUACGGGGGAGGCUUAAUUGUAUAUACUCGUUAAGGAUCUGCCAA
RNAcentral lists this ribosomal RNA (213 nucleotides) under uncultured eukaryote. RNAcentral describes it as "partial 18S ribosomal RNA". The record is from RNAcentral.